Long non-coding RNA from Triticum dicoccoides, 431 nucleotides. RefSeq lists it as uncharacterized. The transcript has 2 exons. The record is from RefSeq and is a predicted model, not a curated record. NCBI's taxonomy places the organism in Eukaryota, Viridiplantae, Streptophyta, Magnoliopsida, Poales, Poaceae.
UGUCAACGCUGGAUGUGCCAAACCUCCACCAUCAGGUGGAGAGUUUGAUCCCAGGCGGUGAUGAUUUUAUUUUUGCCUCCUCUGCCUCAGGCAGAGGAACGGAGAGUGGCGGCAAGGGCAGCCGCCGGCGCGAUGACGAGAACCCAGGGGUGGACACACGGGAGAUUGGGUGCUCGCGCGAAGCCUCCUGCAGCACGGUCGCCCACGAGCCCACCCGGAGCUGUCGCCCCCGCUGAAAUGUGCCACCCCGCUGCCCGUGAAAUGCGCCGCCCCGCUGCACUCGAAAGGAAGCUGUCUGGAUAAAGAAAGGAUCGCGGGCUGAAUUCUUACGAACGUAGGGGCAUCUUUGUAAAAAUGAAUCGUUUUUGCAGCUUCACUUAAACGGAGACUGCGGGUUAAUUUAUAAUAAAUCGAGGGACUUUUAUGCAAAA